RNAcentral lists this ribosomal RNA (847 nucleotides) under uncultured organism. RNAcentral's name for it is "bacterial SSU rRNA". It matches the Rfam family "Bacterial small subunit ribosomal RNA", at positions 370 to 1242 of the family's 1533-position model. The record is from RNAcentral.
AAUGGACGGAAGUCAGACGCAGCGACGCCGCGUGGGUGAAGAAGGCCUUCGGGUUGUAAAGCCCUUUACUGUGGGAAGAGGAAGGACGGUACCAUAGGAAUAAGCGUCGGCUAACUACGUGCCAGCAGCCGGGGUAAGACGUAGGACGCGAGCGUAAUCCGGAUUUACUGGGCGUAAAAGCGUAGUGUAGGCGGCGUGACAAGUUGGGCGUGAGAGCCCCGUGCUCAAGGCGGGGGAGGCCGGACAAAUAUUGUCAGGCUAGAGGGCAUCAGAGGGGUGUGGAAUUCCCGGAGUAGCGGUAAAAUGCGCCGAUAUCGGGAGGAACACCGCGUAGGCGAAAGCGGCACCCUGGGGUGCACACAGACGCUGAGAGACGACAAGCUAGGGUACGAACAGGAUUAGAGACCCUGGUAGUCCUAGCCGUAAACGAUGGAUGCUAGGUGUGGGAGUGAAGAACUUCUGCGCCGCAGCGAACGCGAUAAAGCAUCCCGCCUGGGGAGUACGACCGCAAGGUUAAACUCAAACGAAUUGACGGGGACCCGCACAAGCAGCGGAGCGUGUGGUUUAAUUCGAUGCUACACGAAGUACCUUACCUGGGAUUGACAUAUGGGUGGUAGUGAGCCGAAAGGCAAGCGACCCUUCGGGGAGCCUAUACAGGUGCUGCAUGGCUGUCGUCAGCUCGUGCCGUGAGGUGUCGGGUUAAGGCCCGUAACGAGCGCAACCCCUGUCCUUAGUUACAAGUGUCUAAGGGGACUGCCGGCGGGAAGCCGGAGGAAGGUGGGGAUGACGUCAAGUCAGCAUGGCCCUUAUAUCCAGGGCGACACACACGCUACAAUGGUCGGUACAG